This is a long non-coding RNA of Cyprinus carpio carpio, 1468 nucleotides long. Lineage: Eukaryota; Metazoa; Chordata; Actinopteri; Cypriniformes; Cyprinidae. The record is from Ensembl.
ACACUGCGCACAGACAAGAAAGGAAAUACAUUUUUCGGAGUUGUGAAACUUUCUAUUUCGUAAGGAGUUAUGAACGUGAAAUAAUGACACAGACUGGCUACACAAUCUCAUCUGCCGCAGAUACUGUAUCAGGAGGACAGCGCGUUUGUUUGAGGCACUUUUCACUUCAACUGUGUCUGACAGGAUAAUUAGCUUUCUGAGCCUACUAGCCUUGAGAGUUACCAUGGCAACCCCGGACACAUCAGCUGGUGGAGAGGAGAGGAGUGUCUAAAAAACCCUCUAAAACAGAGGGGAAGUUCCAAGAAAAUUUCUAAUGGGAGCUGCUGACAGAGAUUUAGAAAACACAGUUUGUUUAUUUCUAAUAAGGAGUUGGAGGCUGUGGAGAAGCAGAUCCUUGACCUCGUGGGGAAGCAGGCUCAGCUGAGAGAGCGGAGAGCCGUGCUGGAAACAUUCAGGGGUUGAUGCUCAUAAGUCCGGGAUACCCAUGAUCCUUAAGGGUGAAGAGAGCAUCGGAGCGGUCGUGCUUCACGCCGGGGUUAAUGACACCAAGCUGCGGCAGACGCAGACACUAAAGAGGGACUUCAGGAGCCUGAUCGAGACGGUGCGCAGCAUAUCGCCUGCACGAUGAUCAUGUCAGGACCGCUUCACCAUGUAUAGAUGAGGACACGAAAGGUUCAGUAGACUUUUUGCUUUAAAUGAAUGGUUAUUGUCAUGGUGUAAAGAACAGAAACUGCUUUUUGUUAACAUUUGGAAUCUGUUCUGGGAGCGUCCUAGGCUUUUUAGUGCUGAUGGCCUGCACCCCAGCAGAGUCGGAGCAGAACUUCUCUCGGACAACAUCUCCAGGACUCUACGCUCCAUAUGACUAGGCAGUUUGUGAAGACAGAUAAUCAAGAGAUGUGACAAACUGUACAGAAGUCAGUUCCAGAUCCACCCUCUACACCAGACCUCUCUCUCAUAUGGAUUGCUGUCUACUAGCAUAUUGUUUUCUCUUCAGACUUCGGUGGAUGCAGAUAUUACUCAGGGACAUGAAUACUUGAAUAUUGCAAGAAUAGAGAAAGUAAGAAUUACAUAAGAUUUAAGAAUUUAAUGUUAAUUGCUUAAACUAUAUAUUAUACAUACAGUACAGACCAAAAAUACCGAAAAAAAACAGUAAUAUUGUGAAAUAUUAUUACAACUUAAAAUAAUAGUUUUCUAUUUGAAUAUACUUAAAAAAAAAAAAAAAUUAUUCCUGUGAUGCAAAGCUGAAUUUUCAGCAUCAUUACUCCAGCCUUCAGUGUCACAUGUAACAUCCAGUCUAUCACAUGAUCAUUUAGAAAUCAUUCUAAUAUUCUGAUUUAUUAUGAGUGCUGGAAACAGUUCUGCUGUCUAAUAUAUUUGAUGAAUAAAAGGUUAAAAAGAACUGCAUUUAUUAAAAAAAAUAAAAUAAAAAAUUCUAAUAUAUAUUCUAAUAAUAUAUUUUAUUUACUAU